Molecule: long non-coding RNA, 346 nt
Organism: Fopius arisanus
Lineage: Eukaryota; Metazoa; Arthropoda; Insecta; Hymenoptera; Braconidae
Exons: 3
Source: RefSeq, a predicted model, not a curated record
CGUAGAUCAUCAUCAGUCCCGAUCUCCGCGAACGGUUUAGGAGUCCGUGAGAAGAAGAGGAAUACUGCUGCGGCAAUACCCUUGAAAAACCAAUAGGAUUGCAAGAACUUGGCGCUGAUUUGACGUGAUUUUUAGACCUGCGAAAUCGGACACUUGGCUACAACGAAGUUAUCAGAAAAUAUCCGAUGAUUCCGAAGCACUGGUGGUAUCACUCCGGAAUAUUUCUCUCUGUACGGAGAUAAUUAAAUUUUAAGGAAAUAUAAUUAAAUCGGCAAGUUGGGUUCUGCAGCUGGCUAAAUAGAGAAGUGACUGUAUGAAAGGAACAUAAAGAGGGAAUUCUUACAUC